RNAcentral lists this ribosomal RNA (508 nucleotides) under uncultured bacterium. RNAcentral describes it as "bacterial SSU rRNA". It matches the Rfam family "Bacterial small subunit ribosomal RNA", at positions 21 to 518 of the family's 1533-position model. The record is from RNAcentral.
GGCUCAGGAUGAACGCUAGCUACAGGCUUAACACAUGCAAGUCGAGGGGCAGCAUGUGGUUGCUUGCAACCAAUGAUGGCGACCGGCGCACGGGUGAGUAACGCGUAUCCAACCUUCCCCUUAGUAGAGGAUAGUCCGGCGAAAGUCGGAUUAAUACUCUAUGUUCUUCAAUGCGGACAUCUAAGUUGAAGCAAAGAUUUAUCGCUAAGGGAUGGGGAUGCGUCUGAUUAGGUUGCAGGCGGGGUAACGGCCCACCUGGCCUACGAUCAGUAGGGGUUCUGAGAGGAAGGUCCCCCACACUGGUACUGAGACACGGACCAGACUCCUACGGGAGGCAGCAGUGAGGAAUAUUGGUCAAUGGGCGCGAGCCUGAACCAGCCAAGUAGCGUGCAAGGACGACUGCCCUAUGGGUUGUAAACUGCUUUUAUCAGGGAAUAAAGUGAGGCACGCGUGCCUUUUUGUAUGUACCUGAUGAAUAAGGACCGGCUAAUUCCGUGCCAGCAGCCGC